Hordeum vulgare subsp. vulgare (domesticated barley) is the source of this 791-nucleotide long non-coding RNA. RefSeq lists it as uncharacterized. NCBI's taxonomy places the organism in Eukaryota, Viridiplantae, Streptophyta, Magnoliopsida, Poales, Poaceae. The transcript has 3 exons. The record is from RefSeq and is a predicted model, not a curated record.
GUGUGCUCAUGUGUAGCUCCCCCCACUUUAUUUUUUGUUUUGUGCAAUUGUUUCUCCCUGUGCCAAUGAUGGGUGGGUUUUCCUUCUAUGUUGUGGAUGUGGAUGAACGAAGUCUUCUUGUUAUGGAUCCAGUUGAGACAAGCAUCCACGACGACGAGAUGUGCGUGAAACAUGAAGGUAACGCACACAUUGUUCUGAGUGGGCUUCGGAGGAUCCUACGUGAGCACUUUGCGGACUGGUACAUCUCAAGGAUGGCUGGAAGGUGUCGUUUGGCUACAGCAUGAACGAACCAUGUGAGAUGGAUGAUAGCUGGAUCUACCUUGGACACUACUGGAGGAACUACAACGGACUCUAUCUUGAGAGGCAACUGGGGCAGUUUGAGUUGGAUUACGUGAAGAAACAUUUUGCGUACGAGGUGAUCUCAAUGAAGGGCAACCAUGGUGAAUUUUCAAGCUUCAUGAUCGAGGAAGUUCUGUCCUAGUUGAUCAAGGAUUAUUUGUGAAAUCCAUGUGUACAUAGUAUCCGUCGUCGGGGGAGAUGAAAAAACUAAGGGCAAAAAAACUUGGUGAAUGUUUGGGUAUUCUGGUGCAGUCGACAUUUCUAGUGUUAGCCACCAUCCCAUUUUUUGGUGUGGGGGUGAUUAUUUGUCGCACUGCGUCCUGAUUACAUUAGCUAGAAUGAGGAAGACAAUUAUUAUUUUGCAUCCGAUACCUAGUGCGCGUCGGAGGGGAGGGAUUCUGUUAGUAGUGGUGUCUAAAGUUGGUUUCAGUAUCAUGUAUGUUCUGCACCAG